Molecule: ribosomal RNA, 789 nt
Filed under: uncultured marine bacterium
Lineage: Bacteria
Description: bacterial SSU rRNA
Rfam family: Bacterial small subunit ribosomal RNA
Source: RNAcentral
UGAUCCUGGCUCAGGAUGAACGCUAGCGGCAGGCCUAACACAUGCAAGUCGAGGGGUAACAGGGAGUGCUUGCACUCCGCUGACGACCGGCGCACGGGUGCGCACCGCGUAUGGAACCUACCUUCUACAGGGGAAUAGCCUUUGGAAACGAAGAUUAAUGCCCCAUUGUACCUUUUCACGGCAUCGUGAAAGGGUUAAAGGCUUCGGCCGGUGGAAGAUGGCCAUGCGUCCCAUUAGCUUGAUGGUAAGGUAACGGCUUACCAUGGCUACGAUGGGUAGGGGCCCUGAGAGGGGGAUCCCCCACACUGGUACUGAGACACGGACCAGACUCCUACGGGAGGCAGCAGUGAGGAAUAUUGGACAAUGGAGGAGACUCUGAUCCAGCCAUGCCGCGUGCAGGAAGAAUGCCCUAUGGGUAGUAAACUGCUUUUAUACGGGAAGAAAAAGGGCUACGUGUAGCCUGUUGACGGUACCGUAAGAAUAAGGACCGGCUAACUCCGUGCCAGCAGCCGCGGUAAUACGGAGGGUCCGAGCGUUAUCCGGAAUUAUUGGGUUUAAAGGGUCCGUAGGCGGGCGAUUAAGUCAGUGGUGAAAGUCUGCAGCUCAACUGUAGAAUUGCCUUUGAUACUGGUCGUCUUGAGUUAUGGUGAAGUUGGCGGAAUAUGUAGUGUAGCGGUGAAAUGCAUAGAUAUUACAUAGAACACCGAUUGCGAAGGCAGCUGACUAACCAUAUACUGACGCUGAUGGACGAAAGCGUGGGGAGCGAACAGGAUUAGAUACCCUGGUAGU